RNAcentral lists this unclassified non-coding RNA (376 nucleotides) under uncultured Gammaproteobacteria bacterium. Its description in RNAcentral is "contains 16S-23S intergenic spacer region". Lineage: Bacteria; Pseudomonadati; Pseudomonadota; Gammaproteobacteria. The record is from RNAcentral.
UCCGGUUCCUCACCGGCAGUCUCCUUAGAGUCCCCAUCUUGCUUGCUGGCAACUAAGGAUAAGGGUUGCGCUCGUUACGGGACUUAACCCAACAUCUCACAACACGAGCUGACGACAGCCAUGCAGCACCUGUCUCCGCGUUCCUUUCGGCACUCAAGCCUUUCCGCUUGAUUCGCAGGAUGUCAAGUGUAGGUAAGGUUCUUCGCGUUGCAUCGAAUUAAACCACAUGCUCCACCGCUUGUGCGGGCCCCCGUCAAUUCAUUUGAGUUUCAACCUUGCGGCCGUACUUCCCAGGCGGAAGACUUAUCGCGUUAGCUUCGAUACUCCUAGGUUCCCCUAGCAACAUCUAGUCCUCAUCGUUUACAGCGUGGACUAC